This 355-nucleotide ribosomal RNA is filed under the name uncultured Desulfovibrio sp. Its description in RNAcentral is "bacterial SSU rRNA". It matches the Rfam family "Bacterial small subunit ribosomal RNA", at positions 1030 to 1382 of the family's 1533-position model. Lineage: Bacteria; Pseudomonadati; Thermodesulfobacteriota; Desulfovibrionia; Desulfovibrionales; Desulfovibrionaceae. The record is from RNAcentral.
UAUACAAGGUGCUGCAUGGUUGUCGUCAGCUCGUGCCGUGAGGUGUCGGGUUAAGGUCCCAUAACCGAGCGCAACCCCUAUCAUUAGUUGCCAUCAGGUCAAGCUGGGGACUCUAAUGAAACUGCCUACGCAAGUAGUGAGGAAGGUGGGGAUGACGUCAAAUCAGCACGGCCCUUACGUCCAGGGCUACACACGUGCUACAAUGGCGCAUACAAAGGGCAGCGAUACCGCGAGGUGGAGCCAAUCCCAAAAAGUGCGUCCCAGUCCGGAUUGCAGUCUGCAACUCGACUGCAUGAAGUUGGAAUCGCUAGUAAUUCGAGAUCAGCAUGCUCGGGUGAAUGCGUUCCCGGGCCUU